AGUGAACGCUGGCGGUAGGCCUAACACAUGCAAGUCGAACGGCAGCACAGUAAGAGCUUGCUCUUACGGGUGGCGAGUGGCGGACGGGUGAGGAAUACAUCGGAAUCUACUUUUUCGUGGGGGAUAACGUAGGGAAACUUACUCUAAUACCGCAUACGACCUACGGGUGAAAGCAGGGGAUCUUCGGACCUUGCGCGAUUGAAUGAGCCGAUUUCGGAUUAGCUAGUUGGCGGGGUAAAGGCCCACCAAGGCGACGAUCCGUAGCUGGUCUGAGAGGAUGAUAAGCCACACUGGAACGGAGACACGGUCCAGACUACUACGGGAGGAAGCAGUGGGGAAUAUUGGACAAUGGGCGCAAGCAUGAUCCAGCCAUACCGCGUGGGUGAAGAAGGCCUUCGGGUUGUAAAGCCCUUUUGUUGGGAAAGAAAAGCAGCAGGUUAAUACCCCGCUGUUCUGACGGUACCCAAAGAAUAAGCACCGGCUAACUUCGUG
RNAcentral lists this ribosomal RNA (492 nucleotides) under uncultured bacterium. RNAcentral describes it as "partial 16S ribosomal RNA". It matches the Rfam family "Bacterial small subunit ribosomal RNA", at positions 29 to 507 of the family's 1533-position model. The record is from RNAcentral.